RNAcentral lists this long non-coding RNA (907 nucleotides) under Prunus persica (peach). Its description in RNAcentral is "long non-coding RNA (PPER_LNC008234)". The record is from RNAcentral. Lineage: Eukaryota; Viridiplantae; Streptophyta; Magnoliopsida; Rosales; Rosaceae.
ACUUAACAACACUUUUAACCAUAUUAAUGCUGUUAAGUCUACCUCCCAUAAUCCUACCAAGACAACCCUUGUCCUCCCCUACUCCGACUUAAGCCCUCGCCGAUCCAGCCCAACCCCACCACCACGAGACCGCCCCUCCCUCUCUCUCUCUCUCUCUCUCUCUCUCUCUCUCUCUCUCUCUCUCUCUCUCUCUCUCUCCGACAUAGCCCAACUCCCUUCCCCUGCUUACCGUCAACCAACUGAGACAGAGCCAGAACCACCCCACCCCUCCUUCUCAUAAAUUUUUAUAAAUUCCAACCCAAAAUUCCAAAUUUUAGAAUUAAAAAUCCAUUCUUUGAUUUUUCAUGGGUGCAAAUCGGUGGAAUUGAAUUCAUCGACCAUAGGUGUGAGUCGGCUUGGUCGGUGUUGAGAGUAUGGGGGCUUCAGUCAGUUUUCGAGAAUGAGAAUUGAGGCACAAUCCAUGAGAUAGAAGCAUUAGCCUCAGUGUUUUCAAAGGCAUGCCUACGCGAGUGUCGGUGCUGGCGUCGGAGCGAGGCGACAGGAGAUCGCCUGAGGCAGUCGGCUGUUUCGUAAGCUACACGUUUAGCACGGUGAGGUGUGGAAAGGCAUGACGAGGCGCUGCAAGGCUGGCCAGGCGGACGAGAUGGCGUGAGGAAGAAGAAGAAGAGUGUGAAAUUUUUUUUUAAGGGUUGUAAAAUGACGUCGUUUCACUUUCAGCCUUUUUAAAACUAAGGUUACUUUUAAAAAUAAAAAUAAAGUUAAAAAAACUGAGGUUACUUAAAUGAAACGCACGUUCAGUAUUGUUUCUUUCCUUCUUUUUAUUUUUUAUUUUUUUAUAAUGAAAUUAAUAUAUUAAGUUAAUAAUACAUGCUGUGUAUUCUAUAUAUCAAUUGUAGAUUCUAUUCUA